UACAUAUGCCCACAUACAAAUAACUCAAAAGUUAUCCCCAUAUACUAAUAAAGAAGGGUCUUGCAGUCCACCAACCUUGAGAGGUUGAUUGCCUUUUAGUAUAUGCAAGUUUGCUAAAAGUUGACAGUGAGAUUGAAAAUUAUUGGAGUGUAAAAACCUUAUAUCAUGGUCUGUGGGCAAUAGAAAUAAUUUCUCGGGUUAGGUACAAAGCGCUUAUGGCAUUUGUGAAUAUGGUAGAUCCAGUACUAAAGACUACAGCAAUAAACUGCAUCAACAACUGUACCAGCCGUCACAGAAUAUUGUUGUUGCAGACAAACACACUGUCAAAUCAAGAAAUAGGUUGGGGUUAGGCAGUUCAUCA
Molecule: long non-coding RNA, 361 nt
Filed under: Paramuricea clavata
Lineage: Eukaryota; Metazoa; Cnidaria; Anthozoa; Malacalcyonacea; Plexauridae
Source: RNAcentral